This 843-nucleotide ribosomal RNA is filed under the name uncultured archaeon. RNAcentral describes it as "SSU rRNA". It matches the Rfam family "Archaeal small subunit ribosomal RNA", at positions 474 to 1337 of the family's 1478-position model. The record is from RNAcentral.
UCCCAGCAGUCCAAGUCGCAGCCACAUUUGUUGGGUCUAAAACAUCCGUAGCUUGCUCUUCAAGUCUCAUGUGAAAUCUGGCCUCUCAAGGGUCGGGCGUGCAUGAGAUACUGUUGAGCUUGAGACCGGGAGACGUAACGAGUACGAAUAGGGUAGCGGUAAAAUGUGUUGAUCCUAUUCGGACUAACAAUAGCGAAGGCACGUUAUGAGAACGGAUCUGACAGUGAGGGAUGAAGGCUAGGGGCGCAAAGUGGAUUAGAUACCCAUGUAGUCCUAGCAGUAAACACUGCACACUAAACAUUGGGGCCUCCUCGAGAGGUUUCAGUGCUGUAGCGAAGGCGGAGAGUGUGCUACCUGGGAAGUAUAGUCGCAAGACCGAAACUUAAAGGAAUAGGCGGGGGAGUACUACAACGAGUGACGCGUGCGGUUCAAUUAGAUUCUACACCGUGAACCUCACCAGGAUCGACAGCAGAAUGAAUGUCAGUCUAAAGGGCUUACCUGACACGCUGAGAGGAGAUGCGUGGCCGACGUCAGCCUGUGCCGUGAGGUGACCAGUUAAAUCUGGUAACAGGCGAGACCCGUGUGUUUAUUUGCAUUGUACAAUAAACAGACUGCCGUGGUAACACGGAGGAAGGUGCGGGCUACGUUAGGUGAGUACGUCCCGAAUACCCUGGGCUACACGCGCGCGGCAAUGCUGCAUUCAAAGGGCUGCAACUCCGAAAGGAGAAGCCAAUCUCAUAAACUGCAGCUUAGUUCAGAUUGAGGGUUGCAACUCACCCUCAUGACGCUGGAAUUCGUAGUAAUCGGAUUUUAUCAGAGUCCGGUGAAUAUGUCCCUGCUCCU